RNAcentral lists this ribosomal RNA (253 nucleotides) under uncultured bacterium. Its description in RNAcentral is "partial 16S ribosomal RNA". It matches the Rfam family "Bacterial small subunit ribosomal RNA", at positions 524 to 776 of the family's 1533-position model. The record is from RNAcentral.
CACGUAGGGUGCGAGCGUUGUCCGGAAUUAUUGGGCGUAAAGGGCUCGUAGGCGGCCAACUAAGUCGGACGUGAAAUCCCUCAGCUUAACUGGGGAACUGCGUCCGAUACUGGAUGGCUUGGAUUUGGGAGAGGGAUGCGGAAUUCCAGGUGUAGCGGUGAAAUGCGUAGAUAUCUGGAGGAACACCGGUGGCGAAGGCGGCAUCCUGGACCAAUAUUGACGCUGAGGAGCGAAAGCCAGGGGAGCAAACGGG